Homo sapiens (human) is the source of this 1845-nucleotide long non-coding RNA. Ensembl annotates it as KLF3 antisense RNA 1. Its record names the gene KLF3-AS1. Lineage: Eukaryota; Metazoa; Chordata; Mammalia; Primates; Hominidae. The record is from Ensembl.
ACCUUUCUCCAAACAACGUUGCCACACGCGGAGAGCACGGAGAUUUCUGGGGCUUUGGAGGGAAUCGUGAGCGGGCGGGAGGAGGCCGGGGACCACACAGAGAAUAACUUGUCUGACUACCAGUAUUCUUGGAUGCAGAAGUGCUGAAGAUGAGCACACACACGUACGGAGAAUUUCUGGAGAAUUCAGCUGCUCAGAACAAGAACUGAGAUCCAGAGAGAUGAUGACUUUGCCCAUAGACCAAACAAAGAAAUACAUGUUUCAGUCCUGUGUCCUCCUGCUAUGUGUGUCCGGAAUUGGUGGGUUCUUGGUCUCACUGACUUCAAGAAUGAAGCUGCGGACCCUCGCGGACCGUGUGUGAAUGCCUGCUCUGUGAGCCCUCAGAAUCUACUGGCUGAAUGAGUGCGUGGAGGAAAUGUGCUCAGAGCUGCUGUGUGUCAUCCUGUGUUUGAAGUGCUCCUGCAGCUAUCAUUCAUCCAGUUAAGAAUUUGAAGAAGUGUGUGCACAAAGACGGAGUCUCACUCUGUUGCCCAGGCUGGAGUGCAGUGGCACAAUCUCGGCUCACUGCAACCUCUACCUCCUGGAUUCAAGCGGUUUUCCUGCCUCAGCCUCCAGAGUAACAGGGAUUACAGGCAUACUCCACCUUGCCCUGCUGAUUUUGUAUUUUUAGUAGAGACAAGAGUUUCACCAUGUUGGCCAGGCUGGUCUUGAACUCCUGACCUCAAGUGAUCCACUGCCUCAGCCUCCCAAAGUGCUGGGAUUAUAGGCGUGAGCCACUGCGCCUGGCCAAAUGCUCUACUUUUUAAUCAAUGUUUUCCAAAAUAGGGAUUUUUGCUAUGUGCUUUAGAAAUUAGAGAACAAACGGUGAUAAUAUAUGCUAAACUUAAAAUUAGUAUGCCUCCUUUUAUAGACAACAAGAACUUUGUCACUUCCCAGUUUGUCUUGUCAUUCAGGAGGCUCAGAGCUACGAUCUGUGCCCACUCGUGCUGCCUCUUCUUAACUUUGAUUUCCUGAAGCAGCGAUUUCAUCUCCGUUUCCCCUCAUCACCUGUUCUUUUAACUGUUUAAAAACAGCAUUACAUGUUGUUGCAAGUGGCCUCAAAUUCUUUUUGGUAGAAGGGAAAUUGUAAUCCAUGAGAAGAAAAAAAUUUUCCUAACUAUUCUCAGGUGUGUUUAAGGGCUGCAUUCCAUGAUGCUAUCAGUGCCUUCUUUCAGCUCACAGGAUAUCGGCCAUGUUAAUGAGUCUGAUGUUGCUAGUAUCACAGGCACCGGAAAAUAUGCACAUUAUGCUGGAGCAUUAGAAUGCAACAGAAAGAGCCCUGGGCUUGGAGUAUGCAGAACUGGUUCUUGUUACAACUCCUCUUACUAGUGGGCUGCUAUGGACCUAAAGUGGAGGGCUUUGAAAUUUCCUGCUUAAUUGGGCUGCAUGUCAUUGCUGUCCUUAGAAGUUGCUCUGGGAUGCAGGUGCUGGUUUCUUGGAUCUCCUUUGCUGGAAUUUUGCAUGUCUUGUUUUGUUGUUGUACCAGCUUUGUGGAUCAGCCAACAUCCUUGGCUUGCCCUGUGGGGAGUGGGGUGGGACACAUCUUGGAUUGCUCUAUUCCAGGGAUGUCCAACAUUUUGGCUUCCCUAGGCCACAUUGGAAGAAGAAGAAUUGUAUUGGGCUACACAUAAAAUACACUAUCACUAAAAUAGCUGAUGAGCUAAAAAAAAAAAUCGCAAAAAAAAUCUCAUAAUGUUUUAAGAAAGUUGAUGAAGUUGUAUUGGGCCACAUUCAAAGCUUUCCUGGGCCACAUGCAGGCUGAGGGCUGUGGAUUGAAUAAACUUGCUCUAUUCCCUUUGCAGUAGA